Long non-coding RNA from Cebus imitator (Panamanian white-faced capuchin), 96 nucleotides. RefSeq lists it as uncharacterized. Lineage: Eukaryota; Metazoa; Chordata; Mammalia; Primates; Cebidae. The transcript has 4 exons. The record is from RefSeq and is a predicted model, not a curated record.
CCAUCUGAUGCGAAUUUAUGGUUUGUAGGGCUUGACUCCCCAGGCCCCUUAGGUAGGAAUUUGGGUAAGAUAAAUAAAUGUUUUAAAUGAGUCUUU